GCCACCAUGAGCACCAAGCAGGUCGCUUGCAGGUAUUUUAUGCAUGGUGGGUGUCGGAAAGGAAGUCAGUGCCUGUUCUCACAUGACUUGGCCAACAGCAAGCCGUCCACCAUCUGCAAGUACUAUCAGAAGGGCCACUGUGCCUAUGGAACUCGCUGCAGAUAUGACCACACGAGGCCCUCUGCUGCAGCUGGAGGUGCUGUCGGCACCAUGGCCCACAGUGUGCCCUCCCCAGCUUUCCACAAUCCUCACCCUCCUUCUGAGGUCACUGCGUCCAUUGUGAAAACUAACUCACAUGAACCCGGGAAGCGUGAAAAGAGAACAUUGGUUCUUAGAGACCGAAAUCUCUCUGGCAUGGCUGAAGGAAAGACUCAGCCGAGCAUGGUGAGUAAUCCAGGCAGCUGCAGCGACCCCCAACCCAGCCCCGAGAUGAAGCCGCAUUCCUACCUGGAUGCCAUCAGGAGUGGCCUUGAUGACGUGGAGGCCAGCAGCUCCUACAGCAACGAGCAGCAGCUGUGCCCCUACGCAGCUGCUGGGGAGUGCCGGUUUGGGGAUGCCUGUGUCUACCUGCAUGGGGAGGUGUGUGAAAUCUGUAGGCUGCGAGUCUUGCACCCCUUCGACCCAGAGCAGAGGAAGGCUCACAAAAAGAUCUGCAUGUUGACAUUCGAACACGAGAUGGAAAAGGCCUUUGCCUUCCAGGCAAGCCAGGACAAAGUGUGCAGCAUCUGCAUGGAAGUGAUCCUGGAGAAAGCCUCUGCUUCCGAGAGGAGAUUUGGGAUUCUCUCCAACUGCAAUCACACGUACUGAUUGUCCUGCAUCCGGCAGUGGCGGUGUGCCAAACAGUUUAAAACCCAAUCAUUAAGUCUUGUCCAGAAUGCCGUGUGAUAUCAGAGUUUGUAAUUCUAAGUGUGUAUUGGGUGGAAGAUCAGAAUAAAAAGAACGAGUUGAUUGAAGCUUUCAAACCGGCGAUAGGGAAAAAAAGCCUGUAAAUACUUUGAGCAAGGCAAGGGGACCUGCCCAUUUGGAAGCAAAUGUCUUUAUCGCCAUGCUUACCCUGAUGGGCGGCUAGAAGAGCCUGAAAAACUUUGGAAGCAGCUCAGUUCUCAAGGCUCUGUGAGGUUCUUUAAUUCAGUGCGGCUCUGGGAUUUCAUCGAGAACCGAGAAAGCCGGCAUGUCCCCAACAAUGAAGAUGUCGACAUGACAGAGCUCGGGGACCUCUUCAUGCACCUUUCUGGAGUGGAGUCAUCAGAACCUUAAAGAGUAGAUGGUUGCCCUGCAUCUUGGGCUCCAUCAGCCAAAACUUUCCCAAGCCAGGGUGUGCAGAGCUUCCCUGUACUGCAGCCAAGGUGGUGUAUGGCUUGGAUUUGAGUGGAGUUGGGCUUAGCCUUAGUCUCAUUCACUCUCCAUUAUUACAGCCAUGGGGAAGAGUGAAGGAUACAAAGUAACCUAAUAAGUGUAUGGA
Piliocolobus tephrosceles (Ugandan red Colobus) is the source of this 1462-nucleotide RNA transcript. It is a transcript of the gene named probable E3 ubiquitin-protein ligase makorin-2 pseudogene, with no coding region annotated. The record is from RefSeq and is a predicted model, not a curated record. Lineage: Eukaryota; Metazoa; Chordata; Mammalia; Primates; Cercopithecidae. The transcript has a single exon.